Molecule: ribosomal RNA, 279 nt
Filed under: uncultured bacterium
Lineage: Bacteria
Description: partial 16S ribosomal RNA
Rfam family: Bacterial small subunit ribosomal RNA
Source: RNAcentral
UGCCAGCCGCCGCGGUAAUACGGAGGGGGUUAGCGUUGUUCGGAAUUACUGGGCGUAAAGCGUACGUAGGCGGAUUAAUAAGUUAGAGGUGAAAUCCCAGGGCUCAACCCUGGAACUGCCUUUAUAACUGUUAGUCUUGAGAUCGAGAGGGGUGAGUGGAAUUCCAAGUGUAGAGGUGAAAUCCGUAGAUAUCAGGAGGAAUACCAGAGGCGAAGGCGGCUAACUGGCAGUACAUUGACGCUGAGAUGCGAAAGCGUGGGGAGCAAACAGGAUUAGAUA